This 1407-nucleotide ribosomal RNA is filed under the name uncultured bacterium. RNAcentral's name for it is "16S ribosomal RNA". It matches the Rfam family "Bacterial small subunit ribosomal RNA". The record is from RNAcentral.
AGAGUUUGAUCCUGGCUCAGGACGAACGCUGGCGGCGUGCCUAAUACAUGCAAGUAGAACGCUGAAGAGAGGAGCUUGCUCUUCUUGGAUGAGUUGCGAACGGGUGAGUAACGCGUAGGUAACCUGCCUUGUAGCGGGGGAUAACUAUUGGAAACGAUAGCUAAUACCGCAUAACAAUGGAUGACACAUGUCAUUUAUUUGAAAGGGGCAAUUGCUCCACUACAAGAUGGACCUGCGUUGUAUUAGCUAGUAGGUGAGGUAACGGCUCACCUAGGCGACGAUACAUAGCCGACCUGAGAGGGUGAUCGGCCACACUGGGACUGAGACACGGCCCAGACUCCUACGGGAGGCAGCAGUAGGGAAUCUUCGGCAAUGGGGGCAACCCUGACCGAGCAACGCCGCGUGAGUGAAGAAGGUUUUCGGAUCGUAAAGCUCUGUUGUAAGUCAAGAACGAGUGUGAGAGUGGAAAAUUCACACUGUGACGGUAGCUUACCAGAAAGGGACGGCUAACUACGUGCCAGCAGCCGCGGUAAUACGUAGGUCCCGAGCGUUGUCCGGAUUUAUUGGGCGUAAAGCGAGCGCAGGCGGUUUGAUAAGUCUGAAGUUAAAGGCUGUGGCUCAACCAUAGUUCGCUUUGGAAACUGUCAAACUUGAGUGCAGAAGGGGAGAGUGGAAUUCCAUGUGUAGCGGUGAAAUGCGUAGAUAUAUGGAGGAACACCGGUGGCGAAAGCGGCUCUCUGGUCUGUAACUGACGCUGAGGCUCGAAAGCGUGGGGAGCGAACAGGAUUAGAUACCCUGGUAGUCCACGCCGUAAACGAUGAGUGCUAGGUGUUGGAUCCUUUCCGGGAUUCAGUGCCGCAGCUAACGCAUUAAGCACUCCGCCUGGGGAGUACGACCGCAAGGUUGAAACUCAAAGGAAUUGACGGGGGCCCGCACAAGCGGUGGAGCAUGUGGUUUAAUUCGAAGCAACGCGAAGAACCUUACCAGGUCUUGACAUCCCGAUGCUAUUUCUAGAGAUAGAAAGUUACUUCGGUACAUCGGUGACAGGUGGUGCAUGGUUGUCGUCAGCUCGUGUCGUGAGAUGUUGGGUUAAGUCCCGCAACGAGCGCAACCCCUAUUGUUAGUUGCCAUCAUUCAGUUGGGCACUCUAGCGAGACUGCCGGUAAUAAACCGGAGGAAGGUGGGGAUGACGUCAAAUCAUCAUGCCCCUUAUGACCUGGGCUACACACGUGCUACAAUGGUUGGUACAACGAGUUGCGAGUCGGUGACGGCAAGCUAAUCUCUUAAAGCCAAUCUCAGUUCGGAUUGUAGGCUGCAACUCGCCUACAUGAAGUCGGAAUCGCUAGUAAUCGCGGAUCAGCACGCCGCGGUGAAUACGUUCCCGGGCCUUGCACACACCGCCCGUCA